UUCUUCACCGGGAGCGGGUUUUGUGGGGUGACGCUUCUGUCCUUGGGCCACCUGAGCUCGCCUCAGCCCCGUCACAGAUCCCACGUCUCAGGGAGACGGGGGAGAGGCACACACCCCCCCACCUUCCCUCAGUUCCUCCAGCACAGGCUCCCCAAGAGUAAGACGUGUGGCUUUCCCCCCAGGAGCCCUCCUCUGUCGGCAGCUGUGGGCUGGGACCCGGCCCCGAGUCUAGGACGUCUGUCCAUCACCUGGUGGCCCAAGCACGGGCUCCCCAUCACUAGCUGACCCCACGGCCCCGCCCCAGGCCGCGCUGUGUUGGGGUCAUGCCAUUGUGGCUUCGGAGAGGCGGGGGAGAGACGGUGUGUGCUUGUGGGCCCGCUGACCUGCGUCCCGGCCCAGCCCCGUGACACCAGCAGCUCCCGGUGGCUCCCGGCAAAGCUGCUUAUUGGAUUAGUGGCCCCGCGGGCCCCUGCAGCAGGUGGGGGGAGGCUGGCAUUUAGGGAGUCCUGUUUUCGUCUGGGCUGCUCUGUGAGGCCUGCAGGGGCCUGGGGCGGGGGGAAGGCGGCGCCUGGAAGUGUGUGUUCCACUUGGGGCUGAGCAGAUGGUCCUGGUGGCCCCGGCCCGUCGGACACGGGCGCCAUAGUCUGGACGUAAUCCCUCUUCCUUAUCCGCCGGCCAGGGGCUGACGCUGCUCAGGCCGCUGGUCUCCUUCUGUCGGACUUUCACGGGCACAGGCUUCCAGGGGUCCGAAGAUGCUGUCCAGCUACUCAGCCUGCCUUUUCUCGGGCGUGUGCACGGCCCUGGUCGCCGUGGCCCUGGCCUAUUACUUCUACUGGACGGCCGUUCUCGCUGAAGGACCCUGCACUCGCUACUGAGCGGCGACCAUGGGCCCGCUCGCCUACCUGAAGACGCAGUUCGCGGUGCACCUCCUCAUCGGGUUCGUGUUCGUGGUGAGCGGGCUGCUCAUCAACUCCGUCCAGCUGUGCACGCUGGUCCUCUGGCCCCUGAGCAAGCAGCUGUACCGCCGGCUGAACUGCCGCCUCGCCUACUCCCUGUGGAGCCAGUUGGUCAUGCUUCUGGAGUGGUGGUCCUGCACGGAGUGCACGCUCUUCACUGACCAGGCCACAGUGGACCGUUUCGGCAAGGAGCACGUGGUCGUCAUCCUCAACCACAACUUCGAAAUCGACUUCCUCUGUGGGUGGACCAUGUGCGAGCGGUUUGGCGUGCUGGGGAGUUCCAAAGUCCUGGCGAAGAGGGAGCUGCUGUACGUCCCCCUCAUCGGCUGGACGUGGUACUUCCUGGAGAUCGUGUUCUGCAAGCGGAGGUGGGAGGAAGACCGGGACACCGUCAUCCGGGGGCUGGAGCGCUUGGCGGACUACCCUGAGUACAUGUGGUUCCUCCUGUACUGCGAGGGCACGCGCUUCACGGAGAAGAAGCACCGCGUCAGCAUGGAGGUGGCCGCCUCCAAGGGGCUGCCCGCCCUCAAGUACCACCUGCUGCCUCGAACCAAGGGCUUCACCACGGCGGUCCAGUGCCUCCGGGGGACAGUCGCAGCCGUGUAUGACGUCACGCUGAAUUUCCGCGGAAACAAGAACCCGUCUUUGCUGGGGAUCCUCUACGGGAAGAAGUACGAGGCAGACAUGUGCGUGAGGAGUAACUUUGUGAAUGUGAAGAGUAAGCCGGGAGGCUUUUUCCUUCUGAAGUUUGCGGCAGACUGGCUCGAAUGGAAGACACUCUCAGUUCUGACUAUUUCCAAAGAACGAACCAUUAAGACCCAAACUCCUGCUGCAGCCCACAAAUGCCCGCCCUCCACAGUGGGAACGGGGCACGAUCUGCUCAGGAGAACCCCUCGUGAGAGUCGCUGGCUUUGCCUCGAAGGAGAUUCCCUCUGGAAGAGAUCCCACUGGAUGAAAAGGAAGCAGCUCAGUGGCUCCACAAACUGUACCAGGAGAAGGACGCGUUGCAGGAGAUGUAUAACCAGAAGGGCGUGUUUCCAGGAGAGCAGUUCAAACCUGCCCGAAGGCCGUGGACGCUUCUGAAUUUCCUCUUCUGGGCCACGGUCCUGCUGUCUCCUCUUUUCAGCUGCGUCUUCGGCGUCUUUGCGAGCGGUUCCCCCCUCCUGAUCCUGACGUUCCUGGGGUUUGUGGGGGCAGCUUCCUUUGGAGUCCGCCGGCUAAUAGGAGUAACUGAAAUAGAAAAAGGCUCUAGCUACGGAAACCAAGAAUUUAAGAAAAAGGAGUGACUCCUGGCUGUGGUUGCGCACACGUAACCCGACGGCGGUGUCCAGUUAACUCAAAAACAGAACCACACACCCAGGUCGGAGGAAAAGACACUUAGAAACUAUUUUUCUUAUUAACUGGUGACUAAUCUCAACCAAUAAACCUUGAGCCAAGAGCAAAGCCGUCGGAAGGCCUGCGGACGAAGACGCCAGCGGCACCCCGGGCGGGGUCCCAGGGUCCCACGAGCCAGGCUCCGAGGGCGCCGUGCGUGCGGGCCCACCGCUGCGGGGGGCCGGGUCCCACCCCACCGCGACCUCGCGAGAAUUCUGCCUGCCAGAGGGAGACUUCGGCCGCUUUCUCUUCUUAAACUUAGAUCCAUUUUUGGUUUUUACCAGUUAUUUUGGGAACUCCCCCUGCCCCCCCCCCGCCUCCUCCCCUGACCCCAGCAAACCCUCCCCGGCCCUCCCGGGAACGAGGACAUGUCAGCCCCCAGGCCCACAAAGCACCUGCCCGUCCUGUCUUCACACACGGGUGUUCUCGGGUGACCAGGGCGGGCCGAGCGCCAGGUGGCCGGGCAGGUGCCCCUGAGCUGGCGGUGGGGACGCCCCACCCCGGCUGCCUGGCUCCUCCCUGAGCCUGUGUGGAAGCACUUUACAUCCGUUUCUAAAGUGAUCCGCCCCCUGAGACCUCUGUCCCUCUUUUUCCCUGCUCAGUCCUCGGCCCCUCUACUGGGCCGCACCCCUGCCGCCAGCCCCGGGGACAGCUGCCCUGCAGCCCACGGGCUUCUUGGAUGUUGGUUUCAAAGAACGCCCCCACCGGGCCUCCUCUCUUCUGGAGGCGGUUGGAGACUGUUCCCUGGGAGCUCGUCGGCUCCUCGGGGUUUUAUUUUUACUGUUGGUCUGUUCAUGGCUCUCGUCUCCCUCAGAAGUAGAGGUGGUGGCCCCCCCUCCCUUCCCCGAGCAGGUGCCUGGGUGCCCGGGGCGGGGGUGGGCACCUCCUUGCGCAGGCUUCACCGGGGAGCCUGGGAGCACUGCCCCGCCUCAGCUCCCCCUGCUGGGGGGUGUCUGCCAGGGUCCCGACUUCGCGGCGAGCCCUGGGCGUGGGGCGCCCCAGCAGGCCUCUCCCCAGGCUCGGCUCCAGCAUCCCGCUGUCCACCCGCUUGCAUCAGCCUUCUUUCUUAAACCUCCCGCGUGCUGUUUUCAACUCACACCCCCCUCGCCUUUUUUUUUUUCCCCCUCUUUUUAGCCAAGGAAGGAAAAGUAACGGGUGUUAGCCCUGGUGCACUGGAGCCAGCGUGCCGAAUAGAGGCAGGUUGGAUUUUCUAGGAGAAAAGGUGGAGGAAAGAGGCAUGGAGAAAAUACAGACUACAUUGGACAGGUGCCUCUGCAUCAGCCCUAAGUGUGUAUUCUGGGAGGCUCUCUGGGGGCGGCACGCGGUCUCUAGGACGAGGACGCUGCUGGGGUCUGUGUGAGAGCACCCCGCCCUCCCCCCGCUGCAGGGGGGGCCACCUCGGGUUAGUCUGCUCUCCUGUGGCAUGCUGCUCCCGGCUUCCGUGUUUGUGUCCUGUGCUAACUCACUAACACCUAAAGCAUCUUGAGAACGGUGGGAGGGCACCCCUGCGUGCAUGCGGGCCCUAGAAGGCCCAGGUUUAGGUCUCGUACCUUGUAAUUCGUGGUUCUCCUUGGCCAGAGAAGUUCUCUCCGCCUGAAAUGACUACGUACCGGGCACCCUCCUCCCGGAGCCACUGGAGGGGCCGUGCGGGGUCCGGGUACGAUGGAGGCUGAGGGCGGGCGUAGGUCUUAAGUCUCGGUGAUUCCCUUCUGAUCUAACACAGAUGAGCCCGUGCAUUUGGUGCCCAGACCUUGAGAGCAAGCAAACCUCACCAUGGACGUUUGGGGGGGGUUGUUUUUUGUUUUUCUGUUUUUUGUUUCUUUUUGGAGGGGGAAUGGAUUUUGCUUUACGUCCGCUUUAGAAGGAGAGGGAGAGGGGGCUCCUUUAAUUUUCAAAAUUAAUAAAUCGCAGAAUAGUG
Molecule: RNA transcript, 4248 nt
Organism: Felis catus (domestic cat)
Lineage: Eukaryota; Metazoa; Chordata; Mammalia; Carnivora; Felidae
Gene: AGPAT3
Gene name: 1-acylglycerol-3-phosphate O-acyltransferase 3
Exons: 11
Source: RefSeq, a predicted model, not a curated record